Molecule: ribosomal RNA, 245 nt
Filed under: uncultured bacterium
Lineage: Bacteria
Description: partial 16S ribosomal RNA
Rfam family: Bacterial small subunit ribosomal RNA
Source: RNAcentral
UACAGAGGUGGCGAGCGUUGUUCGGAUUUACUGGGCGUAAAGGGUGCGUAGGUGGUUUCGUGUGUCGGGUGUGAAAUCCCACUGCUCAACGGUGGAAUGGCGCUCGAAACUGCGAAGCUAGAGUGCAGGAGAGGAGAGCGGAAUUCUUGGUGUAGCGGUGAAAUGCGUUGAUAUCAAGAAGAACACCGGCGGCGAAGGCGGCUCUCUGGAAUGCAACUGACACUGAGGCACGAAAGCUGGGGGAG